UUUAAAACUUAUGAAAGGUGAUAAUAAUAAGAUGCAAGACGGUGAUUGGAGAUUUGAUGAACUUGAAGAUCUCUAGCAGUUGACAAUAAAGCGACCACGUGAGUAUCCCUGACCGUUAGUUCAAAUAGCCGUUAGUACACUAAUCAAUGAUUCUCACCGUCCUUUGUGUUUCCGUCGCAGUAUUCGUCACCUGCGUUUGCGUUUUUGAAAUUAUUCUGUAUCAAAAAUUGUAAUAGGAUACAUUACACGUGAUUUUAAUUUUACUAAGUGAGUAUCAACGCUACGCGUGGGUUUGUUUUGAAAAUUGUUAAAAAAAAAUUACAUUGAUUGUUCUUUAUGUUAAUUUCUAUUUACUAUUUGUUUAUU
Molecule: small RNA, 366 nt
Filed under: Arabidopsis thaliana (thale cress)
Lineage: Eukaryota; Viridiplantae; Streptophyta; Magnoliopsida; Brassicales; Brassicaceae
Description: ATSL131820
Source: RNAcentral